UACGUAGGGGGCAAGCGUUGUCCGGAUUUAUUGGGCGUAAAGAGCGUGUAGGCGGCCAGGUAGGUCAGCUGUGAAAACUCGAGGCUCAACCUCGAGACGUCGGUUGAAACCACCUGGCUAGAGUCCGGAAGAGGAGAGCGGAAUUCCUGGUGUAGCGGUGAAAUGCGCAGAUAUCAGGAAGAACACCCGUGGCGAAGGCGGCUCUCUGGGACGGUACUGACGCUGAGACGCGAAAGCGUGGGGAGCGAACAGG
Molecule: ribosomal RNA, 253 nt
Filed under: uncultured bacterium
Lineage: Bacteria
Description: partial 16S ribosomal RNA
Rfam family: Bacterial small subunit ribosomal RNA
Source: RNAcentral